CAAGCAGUAAAAUUAAGACUUCCACUAUAUUACAAUCAAGAACACAUGUUCAAGAAUUUAGAUCGAAACACUGCUAAAAUGACAUAGAUCAGCAUAAAGUACUAGAGCUGUUUCAAUGCAGUUCUAUUACCUACAAGCAGCUAAUACAUACUUGGUAAGAAUCCAGGGAGAGAUCAAGGAGACGAAUUAAUAGAGUUCCAACAGACAUGAGAAUGUCUUACGAAUGCAGCAAAAGACUAGACAUGAUCGAAGAGUUAGAUAGAAUUUGUCUUUUUGGUUCCAAGUUUGAGUUUUUGUUGUUGAAUCAGUUUAC
RNAcentral lists this long non-coding RNA (313 nucleotides) under Brassica napus (rape). Its description in RNAcentral is "long non-coding RNA (BNAP_LNC024919)". Lineage: Eukaryota; Viridiplantae; Streptophyta; Magnoliopsida; Brassicales; Brassicaceae. The record is from RNAcentral.